GUGCUUCAGCAGCACAUAUACUAACAUUGGAGAUACAGAGAAGAUUAGCAUGGCCCCUGCGCAAGGAUGACACCAAAUUCGUGAAGUGUUCCGUAUUUUU
Molecule: small nuclear RNA, 100 nt
Filed under: Phascolarctos cinereus (koala)
Lineage: Eukaryota; Metazoa; Chordata; Mammalia; Diprotodontia; Phascolarctidae
Source: RNAcentral